AGUGAACGCUGGCGGCGUGGCUAAGACAUGCAAGUCGAGCGAUAGAUUCCUUCGGGAAUCGAAAAGACGGCAAACGGGUGCGUAACACGUGAGCAACCUGCCCUAAAGUUGGGAUAGCCUACCGAAAGGUGGAAUAAUAUCGAAUGUGGUCCUUCUUCGCAUGAAGAAGUACUAAAGCUUGUAAUGGCGCUUUAGGAGGGGCUCGCGGCCUAUCAGCUUGUUGGUGAGGAAU
RNAcentral lists this ribosomal RNA (232 nucleotides) under uncultured bacterium. Its description in RNAcentral is "partial 16S ribosomal RNA". It matches the Rfam family "Bacterial small subunit ribosomal RNA", at positions 29 to 260 of the family's 1533-position model. The record is from RNAcentral.